Dreissena polymorpha is the source of this 369-nucleotide long non-coding RNA. RefSeq lists it as uncharacterized. The record is from RefSeq and is a predicted model, not a curated record. NCBI's taxonomy places the organism in Eukaryota, Metazoa, Mollusca, Bivalvia, Myida, Dreissenidae. The transcript has 3 exons.
GUUGUCUGUGUGCUAGGUGCAACAGCAGCUGCAGUCGGAUGGCUUUGGGAAGAAAAGCUCGUUUCUGAUUUUCUGAAAAAAUACAUCGACCAUGCCAAAUCACAGCUACACACAAAACGGUCAACGCAUGCUGAAAACUGCGCUGCCCACUGGAAACAAAAUCUUGAAAAGAAACUUAAAGAGGUAGAAAAUCAGUGGAAUGAAAAACUCUCCAAAGUAAAUUUUACAACAAUUGACAAUCGCAUCGAGCAGAUAAAGAAGACGGAGGAAACAUUCGUGUCUCUAAGGACAGAACUUGAACUCAUAAAAGAAAAACUAAAGAAAUACAAAAGUAAGCUGAAGAAGAUACUAAGAUACUUUUGUGUUGAC